Molecule: transfer RNA, 75 nt
Filed under: Clostridiales bacterium
Lineage: Bacteria; Bacillati; Bacillota; Clostridia; Eubacteriales
Description: tRNA-Thr
Rfam family: tRNA
About the family: Transfer RNA (tRNA) molecules are approximately 80 nucleotides in length. Their secondary structure includes four short double-helical elements and three loops (D, anti-codon, and T loops).
Source: RNAcentral
GCUGCUGUGGCUCAAAGGUAGAGCACAUCACUCGUAAUGAUGGGGUUGUGAGUUCGAUUCUCACCAGCAGCUCCA